Molecule: long non-coding RNA, 110 nt
Organism: Syngnathus acus (greater pipefish)
Lineage: Eukaryota; Metazoa; Chordata; Actinopteri; Syngnathiformes; Syngnathidae
Exons: 4
Source: RefSeq, a predicted model, not a curated record
ACAUUGCGAAAAAAAAGCCCCUAAAUCAGUGCUUCUCAAUUAUUUUCUGUUACGCCCCCCCUAGCAAGAAGAAAACUAUUCGCGCCCCCCACUCCCCACCGUGACUAUCC